CUAGCUGUAAACGAUGGAUACUAGGCGUUGAGAGUAUCGACCCUCUCAGUGUCGUAGCUAACGCGUUAAGUAUCCCGCCUGGGGAGUACGCGCGCAAGCGUGAAGCUCAAAGGAAUUGACGGGGGCCCGCACAAGCGGUGGAGUAUGUGGUUUAAUUCGAUGCAACGCGAAGAACCUUACCAGGGCUUGACAUGUCCGGAACCCUGCCCAAAGGCGGGGGUGCCUACGGGAACCGGAACACAGGUGGUGC
This 250-nucleotide ribosomal RNA is filed under the name uncultured Chroococcidiopsis sp. RNAcentral describes it as "partial 16S ribosomal RNA". It matches the Rfam family "Bacterial small subunit ribosomal RNA", at positions 796 to 1044 of the family's 1533-position model. The record is from RNAcentral. Lineage: Bacteria; Bacillati; Cyanobacteriota; Cyanophyceae; Chroococcidiopsidales; Chroococcidiopsidaceae.